RNAcentral lists this ribosomal RNA (109 nucleotides) under Alphaproteobacteria bacterium MarineAlpha2_Bin1. Lineage: Bacteria; Pseudomonadati; Pseudomonadota; Alphaproteobacteria. The record is from RNAcentral.
GGUGGUUAUGGCGGAGGGCCCCCACUCGAUCCCAUUCCGAACUCGGUUGUGAAAUCCUCCAGCGCCGAUGGUACUUCGUCUUAAGGCGUGGAAGAGUAGGUCGCUGCCG